ACGCCACUUCAUCAGAAGCACACAAACAACAAAAGGGCCUGCAUGAAGGACGCAUUGUAAGAGAUAUAGCACACGCCAUCAUGGCAUAGUUCAUAGAUGUAUUGGCCGGCCUCCACCCCUCCCCCAGGUAGAUUUUUCCGCUCGCCCACAACCACGCCAUCAGUAGAUUUCACAGAUCCUUUCCUCCGCCAUGUUUCCUUUAGGGUUUAGUAAACGAUAUCUUGCGGUCGAGGAGAAAUGGGAGAAAGCUCUAGCUAGUUAAUUGAUCGAGAAGGCGAGAACAUUGCCUACGAAGUGGUAGAGGUUUGUCUCAAUGGUAAUCCAGCACACGCUGCACAGAAUUGGCACCCGGUCAGAUCAAUCUUUCGGAUGCUGUGGACGCCCGCCAGGAGAUCGAUGAACGUAGAGGUGCUUCCUUCACUCGCUUUCAGACAAGGACCGCUUUGUUCUUCCAUUUGACGAGCCAUGGCCCGUGCCAGAUACUGGCAAGUUCAUCCUGAAGGUUUUUGGACCAUAAACUGCGUGUACAGCUCGGAGAACGACAGAGCGUCCUUCAAAUGGGCGUAAGUCGUAGCUUGCUUAGUUACUACGUUUCCGCCUCUUGCUACGGUUUUCUCUGUUGCUGGACAUGAGCCACGUAAAAAUCCAAAGCGGGGAAUGCCUUGGGUAGACAAUGAAGGCCGCGGAAGAGCUUUACCAACAAGGAUUCAUCCGCUAUCCCCGGGCUCAGACAGAUUACUUUUCGGAAAACUGCUCUUCGAGUGUGUGUUGCAUAGGUUCCUAGUCACCUUGAGCUGAUAUAAUGCUGUCCACGCAGUGUGGUACAGGACCAGACCUGUGUGGGGAAAUUAUGCGCAUCGCCUUCUUGACCCUCGAGCGAGCAAAGGCGACAAAGCUCAUCCGCCUGUAUGGUAUAUGCUUUAGAUUAAUCAUUCUUCCCCCCUCUGUGUUAAAAUAAAUUAAAAUUAUUUCUAGAUAAACAAUUUUAAAUUUUUAUUCAUAGAAUAUUAA
Molecule: long non-coding RNA, 1011 nt
Organism: Selaginella moellendorffii
Lineage: Eukaryota; Viridiplantae; Streptophyta; Lycopodiopsida; Selaginellales; Selaginellaceae
Exons: 6
Source: RefSeq, a predicted model, not a curated record